This 253-nucleotide ribosomal RNA is filed under the name uncultured bacterium. RNAcentral's name for it is "partial 16S ribosomal RNA". It matches the Rfam family "Bacterial small subunit ribosomal RNA", at positions 524 to 776 of the family's 1533-position model. The record is from RNAcentral.
UACGUAGGGUGCGAGCGUUGUCCGGAAUUAUUGGGCGUAAAGAGCUCGUAGGCGGUCUGUCGCGUCUGCUGUGAAAACCUGGGGCUUAACCCCGGGCCUGCAGUGGGUACGGGCAGACUAGAGUGUGGUAGGGGAGACUGGAAUUCCUGGUGUAGCGGUGAAAUGCGCAGAUAUCAGGAGGAACACCGGUGGCGAAGGCGGGUCUCUGGGCCAUAACUGACGCUGAGGAGCGAAAGCGUGGGGAGCGAACAGG